UACUCAAGAGCAUAUAAUGGAUGCCUAGACGUAUAUUACCGACGAAGGACGUGGAAGACUGCGAAAAGUCUCGGGGAGCUGUCAACAAGCUUUGAUCCGGGAAUAUCCGAAUGGGGAAACCCAGCACGAGUCAUGUCGUGUUACUUCUACCUGAAUAUAUAGGGUAGAUAGAGGGAACCGCCUGAACUGAAACAUCUUAGUAGGGCGAGGAAGAGAAAAUAAAUAAUGAUUCCGGGAGUAGUGGCGAGCGAAACUGGAAGAGCCCAAACCUUUUAAGUUUUGCGUGGUUAGCAGAAUAGUUUGAAUGACUAUCCAAAGAACGUGAAAGACGUGUACGCGAAAACAACGCUGACCUUAUACGUGUUUUAUCGAGUAGGGCGGGGCACGAGAAACCCUGUCUGAAUCCGGCUGGACCACCAGCCAAGGCUAAAUAUAAUAUACGAUCGAUAGUGAACUAGUACCGCGAGGGAAAGGUGAAAAGAACCCCGGGAGGGGAGUGAAAUAGAUCCUGAAAUUAUAUGCUUACAAGGAGUCGGAGCGGAUUUAUUCCGUGACGGCGUGCUUUUUGUAGAACGAUCCAGCGAGUUAAUUUCUAGUGCAAGGUUAAGUCAAGUGACGGAGCCACAGUGAAAGCGAGCCUGAAUAGGGCGAAUAAGUACUAGGGAUUAGACCCGAAACCGGGUGACCUAACCAUGAGCAGGUUGAAGCGACAGUAACAUGUCGUGAAGGACCGAACCGUCGUACGCAGCAAAGUGCUCGGAUGACUUGUGGUUAGCGGUGAAAUGCCAAUCGAACUCGGAGAUAGCUGGUUCUCCUCGAAAUAGCUUUAGGGCUAGCGUCAAUUAAUUAGCCAACGGGGGUAGAGCUCUGUAAAGGACUGGGGGGAGCAAUCCUACCCACCCUUAACAAACUACGAAUACCGUUGGUGGUACAUUGGCAGUUAGAACGUCGGGGCUAAGCUCGGCGCUCGAAAGGGAAACAGCCCAGACCAUCGUCUAAGGUCCCAAAAUGUAUACUCAGUGGGAAACAAGGUGAGAUUUCUUAAACAGCUAGGAUGUUGGCUUAGAAGCAGCCAUUCAUUUAAAGAGUGCGUAACAGCUCACUAGUCAAGAGAUCUUGCGUGGAAAAUGUAACGGGGCUAAAGUAUACUACCGAAGACAUGGAUGUGACGUAAAUUUAUUUGCGCACGUGGUAGAGGAGCGUUCCUAUCUGCAGUGAAGUUCAACUGGAAAGUUGGGUGGAGCGUUAGGAAGUGAGAAUGCUGGAAUGAGUAACCAUAAGACAUGUGAGAAUCAUGUCGGCCGUAAGAGCAAGGUUUCCUGAGCCAUGGUAAUCAUCUCAGGGUUAGUCGGGCCUAAGCCGAGGCGCAUAGCGUAGGCGAUGGACAUCAGGUUAAUAUUCCUGAACCGGUUAUAAAUUGUACACUGUUCACGGCGGAGUAAUCGAAGCGAAUUCAUGGUAUGUAUUCGUCCAACCUAGGGGGAACCCGAAGGGAGUGAGAGUUAGUCUUCGGACUGACGAUUUCGGUGAGGACGCUGGCUAGAAAAGCAGGUGUACGUGUGUUUAUAGCCGCCCGUACCGCAAACCAACACAGGUGCUCGAGUCGAGUAGACUCAGGCUUACGAGAGAACCUUCGCUAAGGAACUCGGCAAUACAGCGACCGUAACUUCGGGAUAAGGUCUGCCCCCACAUCUUUGGAUGUGAGCCUCGCAUUUUAAGAUGUGGGGGCCGCAGCAAAAGAGCCCACGGAACUGUUUACCAAAAACACAGGUCUCUGCUAAUUCGAAAGAAGAUGUAUAGGGGCUGACUCCUGCCCGGUGCCGGAAGGUUAAGGGGAGUGCUUCACGGUGCGAACUGAAGCCCCGGUGAACGGCGGCGGUAACUAUAACCGUCCUAAGGUAGCGAAAUUCCUUGUCAGGUAAGUUCUGACCCGCACGAAUGGAGUAAUCAUGUGGGCACUGUCUCAGCGAAGGCCUCGGUGAAAGUGCAUUGGCGGUAAAGAUGCCGUCUGUCCGUACCAGGACGAGAAGACCCCAUGGAGCUUUACUACAGCUUUACAUUGAUCCGGGUUACAACAUGUGUAGAAUAGGUGGGAGCCUUUGAAGCAGAUACGCUAGUAUUUGUGGAGGCGCCAAGUGAAAUACCACCCUUGUUGUGAUCUUGAUCUCACCGUUACCAUUAUCUGGUAAUGGGACCGUGUAUGGUGGGUAGUUUAACUGGGGCGGUUGCCUCCUAAAGAGUAGCGGAGGCGUUCAAAGGUUGGCUAGCUUCGGAUGGAAAUCGAAGUGAUAGUGUAUGCGCAAAAGCCAGCUUGACUGUGAGGAGUACAUUCCAAGCAGAGACGAAAGUCGGAGCAAGUGACCCGCUAUACGUACUUUAUGUACAUGAAUGUGGGAUCGAUAGCGCAAACGGAUAAAAGUUACCCUGGGGAUAACAGGCUUAUAGCGCCCAAUAGUUCACAUAGACGGCGCUGUUUGGCACCUCGAUGUCGGCUCAUCACAUCCUGGAGGGGGAGCACCUUCCAAGGGUUCGGCUGUUCGCCGAUUAAAGUGGUACGCGAGCUGGGUUCAGAACGUCGUGAGACAGUUCGGUUUAUAUCCGGUACGGACGUUAGGAAAUUUGAGAAGAUCUACCCCUAGUACGAGAGGACCGGGGCGGACGAACCUCUGGUGUAUCGAUUGUGGCCACCUGCUGCAUUGUCGAGUAGCUACGUUCGGAAUAGAUAAGUGCUGAAAGCAUAUUAAGCACGAAACUAACUUCAAGAUUAGAUUUCCCUAUGAGGACACAGAAAGACUAUCUGUUUGAUAGGCGCAAGGUGGAAGUACAGCAAUGUAUGGAGCUAAAGCGUACUAAUAGUCCCAUCGCCU
This 2867-nucleotide ribosomal RNA is filed under the name Candidatus Saccharibacteria bacterium GW2011_GWC2_44_17. Its description in RNAcentral is "23S ribosomal RNA". It matches the Rfam family "Bacterial large subunit ribosomal RNA". The record is from RNAcentral. Lineage: Bacteria; Candidatus Saccharimonadota.